AGAACGAACGCUGGCGGCAUGCCUAAUACAUGCAAGUCGAACGAACUCUUCGGAGUUAGUGGCGCACGGGUGCGUAACGCGUGGGAAUCUGCCCCUUGGUUCGGAAUAACAGUUGGAAACGACUGCUAAUACCGGAUGAUGACGAAAGUCCAAAGAUUUAUCGCCAAGGGAUGAGCCCGCGUAGGAUUAGCUAGUUGGUGAGGUAAAGGCUCACCAAGGCAACGAUCCUUAGACUGUCGUUGAGAGGACUACGAUCCAGCCUACGACUGGGACUGACGACCACGGACCCACGACGUCCGACGGAGGCAGCGAAGUUAGGAUAUGGGAAC
This 329-nucleotide ribosomal RNA is filed under the name uncultured soil bacterium. RNAcentral's name for it is "bacterial SSU rRNA". It matches the Rfam family "Bacterial small subunit ribosomal RNA", at positions 26 to 369 of the family's 1533-position model. The record is from RNAcentral.